Molecule: ribosomal RNA, 115 nt
Filed under: Candidatus Pelagibacter sp.
Lineage: Bacteria; Pseudomonadati; Pseudomonadota; Alphaproteobacteria; Candidatus Pelagibacterales; Candidatus Pelagibacteraceae
Source: RNAcentral
CCUGGUAAUUAUUGCGAAAGUGUCAUACCCGAUCCCAUUCCGAACUCGGCAGUCAAGCCUUUCAGCGCCAAUGGUACUUUGUCUUAAGAUAUGGGAGAGUAGGUCAUUGCCAGGC